RNAcentral lists this ribosomal RNA (765 nucleotides) under Streptomyces sp. RNAcentral describes it as "bacterial SSU rRNA". It matches the Rfam family "Bacterial small subunit ribosomal RNA", at positions 76 to 859 of the family's 1533-position model. The record is from RNAcentral. Lineage: Bacteria; Bacillati; Actinomycetota; Actinomycetes; Kitasatosporales; Streptomycetaceae.
CUCUUCGGAGAUGGAUUAGUGGCGAACGGGUGAGUAACACGUGGGCAAUCUGCCCUGCACUCUGGGACAAGCCCUGGAAACGGGGUCUAAUACCGGAUGAUACUUCUGCUCGCAUGGGUGGGGGUUGAAAGCUCCGGCGGUGCAGGAUGAGCCCGCGGCCUAUCAGCUUGUUGGUGAGGUAGUGGCUCACCAAGGCGACGACGGGUAGCCGGCCUGAGAGGGCGACCGGCCACACUGGGACUGAGACACGGCCCAGACUCCUACGGGAGGCAGCAGUGGGGAAUAUUGCACAAUGGGCGAAAGCCUGAUGCAGCGACGCCGCGUGAGGGAUGACGGCCUUCGGGUUGUAAACCUCUUUCAGCAGGGAAGAAGCGCAAGUGACGGUACCUGCAGAAGAAGCGCCGGCUAACUACGUGCCAGCAGCCGCGGUAAUACGUAGGGCGCAAGCGUUGUCCGGAAUUAUUGGGCGUAAAGAGCUCGUAGGCGGUCUGUCGCGUCGGAUGUGAAAGCCCGGGGCUUAACCCCGGGUCUGCAUUCGAUACGGGCAGACUAGAGUGUGGUAGGGGAGAUCGGAAUUCCUGGUGUAGCGGUGAAAUGCGCAGAUAUCAGAGGAACACCGGUGGCGAAGCGGAUCUCUGGGCCAUUACUGACGCUGAGGAGCGAAAGCGUGGGGAGCGAACAGGAUUAGAUACCCUGGUAGUCCACGCCGUAAAACGGUGGGAACUAGGUGUUGGCGACAUUCACGUCGUCGUGCGCAGCUACGCA